AUUAUUAAAAAUUUUGACGAUAGAAACACUAAGAAAGCUAUUUACUGCGUCUAAGAAAAUAUUUGUUGGUUUUAGCCUCUUUUUGGAUAAAAUGGGUAUAAGUGUUGUCUAAACACUUCUAAUCCAUCUCUAACUCUUAUAAUUAGUCGAAUGCAUUGGAUUGUGAUACCUUUUAACCAUAAAAACACUAACAAAGCUAUUUAGUUCUUCUAAGCAAUAUUUUGUUGGUUAUAGCAUCUUUUCAGAGUAAAUGGGUAUAAGUGUUGUCUAAACACUCCUAAUCCAUCGCUAGCUCUUAUAACUAGUCAAAUGCUUUGGAUUGUGACACAUUUUGACCAUAGAAACACUAACAAAUCUAUUGAGUUGUUCUAAGCAAGUUUUUGUUGGUUUUAACCUCUUCUGGGAGGAAAUUGGUAUAAGUGUUGUCUAAACACUUCUUAUCCAUCUCUAACUCUUAUAAUUAGUCAAUUGCAUUGGGUUAUGACACAUUUUGACCAUAGAAACACUAACAAAUCUACUGACUGCUUCUAAGCAAGUUUUGUUGGUUUUAGCCUCUUUUGGGAUAAAAUAGGUAUAAGUGUUGUCUAAACACUUCUAAUCCAUCUCUAACUCUUAUAAUUAGUCGAAUGCAUUGGAUUGUGAUACCUUUUGACCAUAAAAACACUAACAAAGCUAUUUACUGCUUCUAAGCAAUAUUUUGUUGGUUAUAGCUUCUUUUGUAAGUAAAUGGGUAUAAGUGUUGUCUAAACACUCCUAAUCCAUCGCUAGCUCUUAUAAUUAGUCAAAUGCAUUGGAUUGUGACACAUUUUGACCAUAGAAACACUAACAAAUCUAUUGAGUUGUUCUAAGCAAGUUUUGUUGGUUUUAGCCUCUUUUGGGAGGAAAUGGGUAUAAGUAUUGUCUAAACACUUAUUAUCCAUCUCUAACUCUUAUAUUAGUCAAUUGCAUUGGAUUGUGACACAUGUUGACCAUAGAAACGCUAACAAAUAUAUUGACUGCUUCUAAGCAAGUUUUGUUUGUUUUAGCCUCUUUUGGGAGAAAAUGUGUAUACGUCUUGGCUAAAGACUCCUAAUCUAUCUCUAACUCUAUCAUUAGUCAAAUGCAUU
This 1106-nucleotide small RNA is filed under the name Arabidopsis thaliana (thale cress). RNAcentral describes it as "ATSL036950". The record is from RNAcentral. Lineage: Eukaryota; Viridiplantae; Streptophyta; Magnoliopsida; Brassicales; Brassicaceae.